AACGAACGCUGGCGGCAUGCCUAACACAUGCAAGUCGAACGAGACCUUCGGGUCUAGUGGCGCACGGGUGCGUAACGCGUGGGAAUCUGCCCUUGGGUUCGGAAUAACAGUGAGAAAUUACUGCUAAUACCGGAUGAUGACGUAAGUCCAAAGAUUUAUCGCCCAAGGAUGAGCCCGCGUAUGAUUAGCUAGUUGGUGGGGUAAAGGCCUACCAAGGCGACGAUCUUUAGCUGGUCUGAGAGGAUGAUCAGCCACACCUGGGGACUGAGACACGGCCCAGACUCCUACGGGAGGCAGCAGUGGGGAAUAUUGGACGAAUGGGCGAAAAGGCCUGAUCCAGCAAUGCCGCGUGAGUGAUGAAGGCCUUAGGGUUGUAAGACUCUUUUACCAGGGUAUGAUAAUGACAGUACCUGGAGAAU
RNAcentral lists this ribosomal RNA (419 nucleotides) under uncultured bacterium. RNAcentral describes it as "bacterial SSU rRNA". It matches the Rfam family "Bacterial small subunit ribosomal RNA", at positions 29 to 487 of the family's 1533-position model. The record is from RNAcentral.